CUGACUUAUCUUCGUGAGCGACGGCAUUGAGCGCUACGACUGCCUCAAUCGCUUGGCGUGUUUGGACGACCAGAAAGCCCAGCGAAUACUAACCUCUUCCAAAAUGAUGAUUAAUGGGGCCAAGUACUUACAGCCGAUAUUCGGAUACUCACUGGAAAAAUACGAACAGAUUUCUGACGGUGUUUACGACGCCAUAUUGUACCGUCGAGAGGGCGGUUCCUGCAACACCCGAUACACCUGCCCCGCCAUGCCCAGCUUGUAGAACGAAACUCGCUCUUGCCCAAUGACGCUAGUUCCUCCUCAUUCGAACUCGAACUGUCUGUUAUCACGUCGAGGCUCCAGGUCGCGCAGGUAGCGACUUAUUUAAUGUCCUCACGUAGUUGAGAUGCACUGUAGGUUUUAAGUUUUUAAUUUUUUUUUUUUUCACAGUGGUUGAUCACGUGGCGAUAUAUCCACGUGAGAUGCCGUCGUCAUGCACAUUUGUGGCCAGUCUUUUUCGCAGUUUUGUCUUUGUGAGUGUCCGAACUGCCAUUUAUCAAUUCCCCCCUUUUUUCCUUAAUUAAUUUCACUCCUGCAGCAAUCUCCCAUAUAAUAUAAUAAAUACCUUCUCAGUGAAAUAUUCCAUUACAUUUAUAUAGCCAUUUGCUCAGAUGUACAAAGACUAUUCUUCUCCCGGUUCAAAAGACCUCCCCUUGUUUUUUUUAGUCUUGAUUCUAUUUAUGUGUUUAUCGUUAAUGUAAUCUUGAACUAAUGCACCACGGACGCUGGCUCGUCCGUGGUGCAUUGGCCAGGAGUCCGAAGCAUUAUAUAAUACCUCUUCUCAUGCCAGUAAUUCAUGUGUCCUAGAAGGAUCGAAUCUCCUCUGUUGUUGAUUUUUAUCGUUUUGUUAUUCUAUAGAAGUGUAAAUAUUUGUUAUAUCUAUUUAUUAACUUGAACCAAUAAAACACACUAUCCUA
RNAcentral lists this long non-coding RNA (956 nucleotides) under Penaeus japonicus. Its description in RNAcentral is "uncharacterized LOC122254239". Lineage: Eukaryota; Metazoa; Arthropoda; Malacostraca; Decapoda; Penaeidae. The record is from RNAcentral.